UACGGGGGGGGCAAGCGUUGUUCGGAAUUACUGGGCGUAAAGGGCUCGUAGGCGGCCAACUAAGUCAGACGUGAAAUCCCUCGGCUUAACCGGGGAACUGCAUCUGAUACUGGAUGGCUUGAGUUCGGGAGAGGGAUGCGGAAUUCCAGGUGUAGCGGUGAAAUGCGUAGAUAUCUGGAGGAACACCAGCGGCGAAGGCGGUGCUCUGGGCCGGAACUGACGCUGAGGAGCGAAAGCGUGGGUAGCGAACAGG
This 253-nucleotide ribosomal RNA is filed under the name uncultured bacterium. Its description in RNAcentral is "partial 16S ribosomal RNA". It matches the Rfam family "Bacterial small subunit ribosomal RNA", at positions 524 to 776 of the family's 1533-position model. The record is from RNAcentral.